Molecule: ribosomal RNA, 2559 nt
Filed under: Escherichia coli
Lineage: Bacteria; Pseudomonadati; Pseudomonadota; Gammaproteobacteria; Enterobacterales; Enterobacteriaceae
Description: partial 23S ribosomal RNA
Rfam family: Bacterial large subunit ribosomal RNA
Source: RNAcentral
UGUGAGCUCGAUGAGUAGGGCGGGACACGUGGUAUCCUGUCUGAAUAUGGGGGGACCAUCCUCCAAGGCUAAAUACUCCUGACUGACCGAUAGUGAACCAGUACCGUGAGGGAAAGGCGAAAAGAACCCCGGCGAGGGGAGUGAAAAAGAACCUGAAACCGUGUACGUACAAGCAGUGGGAGCACGCUUAGGCGUGUGACUGCGUACCUUUUGUAUAAUGGGUCAGCGACUUAUAUUCUGUAGCAAGGUUAACCGAAUAGGGGAGCCGAAGGGAAACCGAGUCUUAACUGGGCGUUAAGUUGCAGGGUAUAGACCCGAAACCCGGUGAUCUAGCCAUGGGCAGGUUGAAGGUUGGGUAACACUAACUGGAGGACCGAACCGACUAAUGUUGAAAAAUUAGCGGAUGACUUGUGGCUGGGGGUGAAAGGCCAAUCAAACCGGGAGAUAGCUGGUUCUCCCCGAAAGCUAUUUAGGUAGCGCCUCGUGAAUUCAUCUCCGGGGGUAGAGCACUGUUUCGGCAAGGGGGUCAUCCCGACUUACCAACCCGAUGCAAACUGCGAAUACCGGAGAAUGUUAUCACGGGAGACACACGGCGGGUGCUAACGUCCGUCGUGAAGAGGGAAACAACCCAGACCGCCAGCUAAGGUCCCAAAGUCAUGGUUAAGUGGGAAACGAUGUGGGAAGGCCCAGACAGCCAGGAUGUUGGCUUAGAAGCAGCCAUCAUUUAAAGAAAGCGUAAUAGCUCACUGGUCGAGUCGGCCUGCGCGGAAGAUGUAACGGGGCUAAACCAUGCACCGAAGCUGCGGCAGCGACGCUUAUGCGUUGUUGGGUAGGGGAGCGUUCUGUAAGCCUGCGAAGGUGUGCUGUGAGGCAUGCUGGAGGUAUCAGAAGUGCGAAUGCUGACAUAAGUAACGAUAAAGCGGGUGAAAAGCCCGCUCGCCGGAAGACCAAGGGUUCCUGUCCAACGUUAAUCGGGGCAGGGUGAGUCGACCCCUAAGGCGAGGCCGAAAGGCGUAGUCGAUGGGAAACAGGUUAAUAUUCCUGUACUUGGUGUUACUGCGAAGGGGGGACGGAGAAGGCUAUGUUGGCCGGGCGACGGUUGUCCCGGUUUAAGCGUGUAGGCUGGUUUUCCAGGCAAAUCCGGAAAACUAAGGCUGAGGCGUGAUGACGAGGCACUACGGUGCUGAAGCAACAAAUGCCCUGCUUCCAGGAAAAGCCUCUAAGCAUCAGGUAACAUCAAAUCGUACCCCAAACCGACACAGGUGGUCAGGUAGAGAAUACCAAGGCGCUUGAGAGAACUCGGGUGAAGGAACUAGGCAAAAUGGUGCCGUAACUUCGGGAGAAGGCACGCUGAUAUGUAGGUGAAGCGACUUGCUCGUGGAGCUGAAAUCAGUCGAAGAUACCAGCUGGCUGCAACUGUUUAUUAAAAACACAGCACUGUGCAAACACGAAAGUGGACGUAUACGGUGUGACGCCUGCCCGGUGCCGGAAGGUUAAUUGAUGGGGUCAGCGCAAGCGAAGCUCUUGAUCGAAGCCCCGGUAAACGGCGGCCGUAACUAUAACGGUCCUAAGGUAGCGAAAUUCCUUGUCGGGUAAGUUCCGACCUGCACGAAUGGCGUAAUGAUGGCCAGGCUGUCUCCACCCGAGACUCAGUGAAAUUGAACUCGCUGUGAAGAUGCAGUGUACCCGCGGCAAGACGGAAAGACCCCGUGAACCUUUACUAUAGCUUGACACUGAACAUUGAGCCUUGAUGUGUAGGAUAGGUGGGAGGCUUUGAAGUGUGGACGCCAGUCUGCAUGGAGCCGACCUUGAAAUACCACCCUUUAAUGUUUGAUGUUCUAACGUUGACCCGUGAUCCGGGUUGCGGACAGUGUCUGGUGGGUAGUUUGACUGGGGCGGUCUCCUCCUAAAGAGUAACGGAGGAGCACGAAGGUUGGCUAAUCCUGGUCGGACAUCAGGAGGUUAGUGCAAUGGCAUAAGCCAGCUUGACUGCGAGCGUGACGGCGCGAGCAGGUGCGAAAGCAGGUCAUAGUGAUCCGGUGGUUCUGAAUGGAAGGGCCAUCGCUCAACGGAUAAAAGGUACUCCGGGGAUAACAGGCUGAUACCGCCCAAGAGUUCAUAUCGACGGCGGUGUUUGGCACCUCGAUGUCGGCUCAUCACAUCCUGGGGCUGAAGUAGGUCCCAAGGGUAUGGCUGUUCGCCAUUUAAAGUGGUACGCGAGCUGGGUUUAGAACGUCGUGAGACAGUUCGGUCCCUAUCUGCCGUGGGCGCUGGAGAACUGAGGGGGGCUGCUCCUAGUACGAGAGGACCGGAGUGGACGCAUCACUGGUGUUCGGGUUGUCAUGCCAAUGGCACUGCCCGGUAGCUAAAUGCGGAAGAGAUAAGUGCUGAAAGCAUCUAAGCACGAAACUUGCCCCGAGAUGAGUUCUCCCUGACUCCUUGAGAGUCCUGAAGGAACGUUGAAGACGACGACGUUGAUAGGCCGGGUGUGUAAGCGCAGCGAUGCGUUGAGCUAACCGGUACUAAUGAACCGUGAGGCUUAACCUUACAACGCCGAAG